GGCGUUUGUUGAGUUUGAUUUUGUGUCGUGUUUGAACUUGAGUUUGUGGUUUUUUUUAACUUGAGUUUGUGUCGUGUUUGAACUUGAGUUUGAGUGUUUUUUGAACUUGAGUUUGUGUGGUUUUUGAACUUGAGUUUGUGUCGUGUUUGAACUUGAGUUUGAGUGUUUUUUGAACUUGAGUUUGUGUGGUUUUUGAACUUGAGUUUGUUUCGUGUUUGAACUUGAGUUUGUGGCGUUUGUUGAAUUUGAGUUUGUGUCAUGUUUGAACUUGAGUUUGUGGUGUUUUUGAACUUGAAUUUGCAUGUUUGGUUAACUUGAGUUUUUGUGUUUUUUGAACUUGAGUUUCUGUUGUUUUUGAACUUGAGGUUGUGGAAAUUGUUAAACUUGAGACUCAGGUGUUGGUUGAACUUAGGUUUCUGUUGUUUUUGAACUUGAGGUUGUGGAAAUUGUUAAACUUGAGAAUCAGAUUUUGGUUGAACUUAGGUUUCUGUUGUUUUUGAACUUGAGGUUGUGGAAAUUGUUAAACUUGAGACUCAGGUGUUGGUUGAACUUAGGUUUCUGUUGUUUUUGAACUUGAGGUUGUGGAAAUUGUUAAACUUGAGAAUCAGAUUUUGGUUGAACUUGAGUUUGUGUCAUUUUUGAACUUAAGUUUGUGUGUGUGUUGAACUUGAGUUUGUGUUGUGUUUAAUUUGAGUUGCGUGUUUGGUGAACUUGAGUUUGUGUUCUUUGAACUUGAGUUUCUAUUGUUUUUGAACUUGAGGUUGUGGUGUUUUUGACCUUGAGUUUUUGUGUUUGUUGAACUUGAGUUUGUUUCGUGUUUGAACUUGAUUUUGUGGUGUUUUUGAACUUAAGGUUGUGGCAAUUUUUAAACUUGAGAUUUGGAAAUUGGUUGAACUUGAGUUAUUGUGUUUGUUGAACUUGAGUUUGUGUCGUGUUUGAACGUGAGUUUGUGGUGUUUUUAACUUGAGGUGGUUUCAUGUUUGAACUUGAGUUUGUUGCGUUUGUUGAACUUGAGUUUGUGGUGUUUGUUGAACUUGAGUUUGUGGUUUUUGUUGAACUUGAGUUUGUGUCGUGUUUGAACUUGAGUUUGUGUGUUUUUUGAACUUGAGUUUUUUUCGUGUUUGAACUUGAGUUUGUGGUGUUUGUUGAAUUUGAGUUUGUGUCAUGUUUGAACUUGAGUUUGUGGUGUUUUUGAACUUGAAUUUGCGUGUUUGGUUAACUUGAGUUUUUGUGUGUUUUGAACUUGAGUUUGUAUCGUGUUUUAACGUGAGAUUGUGUCGUUUUUGAACUUGAGUUUGUGUGUUUGUUGAACUUGAGUUUGUGUUGUGUUUGAACUUGAGUUUGUGUCGUGUUUGAACUUGAGGUUGUGGAAAUUGUUAAACUUGAGAUUCAGGUGUUGGUUGAACUUGAGUUAGUGUGUUUGUUGAACUUGAGUUUUUUGUCGUGUUUGAACUUGAGUUUGUGGUGUUUUGAACUUGAGUUUGUGAUGUUUUUUGAACUUAAUUUUGUUGAACUUGAGUUUGUGGCAAUUGUUGAACUUCAGUUUGUGUCGUGUUUGAACUCUAGUCUGUUGUUUUUGAACUUGAGGUCGUUGAAUUGUUAAACAUGAGAAUCAGGUUUUGGUUGAACUUGAGUUUCUGUUGUUUUUGAAUUUGAGGUUGUGGAAAUUGUUAAAGUUGAGAAUCAGGUGUUGGUUGAACUUGAGUUGCGUGUUUGGUGAACUUGAGUUUUUGUGUUUUUUGAACUUGAAUUUCUGUUGUUUUUGAACUUGAGGUUCUGGAAAAAAAUUUAAACUUGAGAAUCAGGUGUUGGUUGAACUUGAGUUGCGUGUUUGGUGAACUUGAGUUUUUGUGUUUUUUGAACUUGAAUUUCUGUUGUUUUUGAACUUGAGGUUCUGGAAAAAAAUUUAAACUUGAGAAUCAGGUGUUGGUUGAACUUGAGUUUCUGUUUUUGAACUUGAGGUUGUGGAAAUUGUUAAACUUGAGAAUCAGAUUUUGGUUGAACUUGAGUUUGUGUCAUUUUUGAACUUAAGUUUGUGUGUGUGUUGAACUUGAGGUUGUUGAAAUUGUUAAUCUUGAGAAUUGGGUAUUGGUUGAACUUGAGUUUGUGUCGUGUUUGAAUGUGAGUUUGGUUUGUGUUUUAACUUGAGUUUGUGAUGUUUUUGAAUUUGAGUUUGUGUGUUGGUUGAACUUGAGUUUGUGUUGUGUUUGAACUUGAGUUUGUGGUGUUUUUGAACUUGAGUUAGUGUGUUUGUUGAACUUGAGUUUGUGUUGUGUUUGAACUUUAGUUUGUGGCGUUUGUUGAGCUUGAUUUUGUGUCGUGUUUGAACUUGAGUUUGUGGUUUUUGUUGAACUUGAGUUUGUGUCGUGUUUGAAUUGAGUUUGAGUGUUUUUUGAACUUGAGUUUGUGUGGUUUUUGAACUUGAGUUUGUGUCGUGUUUGAAUUGAGUUUGAGUGUUUUUUGAACUUGAGUUUGUGUGGUUUUUGAACUUGAGUUUGUUUCUAUUUGAACUUGAGUUUGUGGCGUUUGUUGAAUUUGAGUUUGUGUCAUGUUUGAACUUGAGUUUGUGGUGUUUUUGAACUUGAAUUUGCAUGUUUGGUUAACUUGGGUUUUUGUGUUUUUUGAACUUAGGUUUCUGUUGUUUUUGAACUUGAGGUUGUGGAAAUUGUUAAACUUGAGACUCAGGUGUUGGUUGAACUUAGGUUUCUGUUGUUUUUGAACUUGAGGUUGUGGAAAUUGUUAAACUUAAGAAUUAGGUGUUGGUUGAACUUGAGUUUGUGUGUUUGUUGAACUUGAAUUUGUGAUGUUUUUGAACUUGAGGUUGUUGAAAUUUUUAAACUUGAGAAUUGGGUAUUGGUUGAACUUUAGUUUGUGAUUUUAUUGAACUUGAGUUUGGUUCGUGUUUUAACUUGAGUUUGUGAUGUUUUUGAAUUUGAGUUUGUGUGUUGGUUGAACUUGAGUUUGUGUUGUGUUUGAACUUGAGUUUGUGAUGUUUUUGAAUUUGAGUUUGUGUGUUGGUUGAACUUGAGUUCGUGUCGUGUUUGAACUUGAGUUUGUGGUGUUUUUUGAACUUGAGGUGGUUUCAUGUUUGAACUUGAGUUUGUUGCGUUUUUUGAACUUGAGUUUGUGGUGUUUGUUGAACUUGAGUUUGUGUGGUGUUUGAACUUGAGUUUGUGUCGUGUUUGAACUUGAGUUUGUGUGUUUUUUGAACUUGAGUUUGUGUGUUUUUUUGAAUUUGAGUUUGUGUCGUGUUUGAACUUGAGUUUGUGGUGUUUUUGAACUUGAAUUUGCGUGUUUGGUUAACUUGAGUUUUUGUGUUUUUUGAACUUGAGUUUCUGUUGUUUUUGAACUUGAGGUUGUGGAAAUUGUUAAACUUGAGAAUCAGGUGUUGGUUGAACUUGAGAUUGUGUGUUUUUUGAACCUGAGUUUGUGGUGUUUUUGAACUUGAGGUUGUUGAAAUUGUUAAUCUUGAGAAUUGGGUAUUGGUUGAACUUGAGUUUGUGUCGUGUUUGAAUGUGAGUUUGGUUUGUGUUUUAACUUGAGUUUGUGAUGUUUUUGAAUUUGAGUUUGUGUGUUGGUUGAACUUGAGUUUGUGUUGUGUUUGAACUUGAGUUUGUGGUGUUUUUGAACUUGAGUUUGUGUGUUUGUUGAACUUGAGUCUGUGUUGUGUUUGAACUUUAGUUUGUGGCGUUUGUUGAGUUUGAUUUUGUGUCGUGUUUGAACUUGAGUUUGUGGUUUUUUUUAACUUGAGUUUGUGUCGUGUUUGAACUUGAGUUUGAGUGUUUUUUGAACUUGAGUUUGUGUGGUUUUUGAACUUGAGUUUGUGUCGUGUUUGAACUUGAGUUUGAGUGUUUUUUGAACUUGAGUUUGUGUGGUUUUUGAACUUGAGUUUGUUUCGUGUUUGAACUUGAGUUUGUGGCGUUUGUUGAAUUUGAGUUUGUGUCAUGUUUGAACUUGAGUUUGUGGUGUUUUUGAACUUGAAUUUGCAUGUUUGGUUAACUUGGGUUUUUGUGUUUUUUGAACUUAGGUUUCUGUUGUUUUUGAACUUGAGGUUGUGGAAAUUGUUAAACUUGAGACUCAGGUGUUGGUUGAACUUAGGUUUCUGUUGUUUUUGAACUUGAGGUUGUGGAAAUUGUUAAACUUAAGAAUUAGGUGUUGGUUGAACUUGAGUUUGUGUGUUUGUUGAACUUGAGUUUUGUGGUGUUUUUGAACUUGAGGUUGUUGAAAUUUUUAAACUUGAGAAUUGGGUAUUGGUUGAACUUGAGUUUGUGAUUUUAUUGAACUUGAGUUUGGUUCGUGUUUUAACUUGAGUUUGUGAUGUUUUUGAAUUUGAGUUUGUGUGUUGGUUGAACUUGAGUUUGUGUCGUGUUUGAACUUGAGUUUGUGUGUUUUUUGAACUUGAGUUUGUGUGUUGGUUGAACUUGAGUUC
Xyrichtys novacula (pearly razorfish) is the source of this 4429-nucleotide non-coding RNA. The record is from the annotation of a GenBank genome assembly. NCBI's taxonomy places the organism in Eukaryota, Metazoa, Chordata, Actinopteri, Labriformes, Labridae.